AUGACUGAGGCAACCGAGCCGACGCCGCCGGAGCCACCGCCCGCGCCUCCGACCGCGGUGAUCGAGGAGCCAGCAGAGGAGCUGCACGAGCGGGCGCCUGCGUCCGCGGUGGCCGAGCCGCCACCUGUGAGGUCGCCCGUGCCCGCGGUGGCCGGAUCAGGGCAGCCAUCUGCGUCGUCGGAGGUAAAGCAAGGUGAGGCAGAUCGCAGCGGAUCUGACCCACGGCCGCCGCAUGGGGACCGCGGGCUCUCGCAGAGGGAUCCUGGCGGAUCGCCUUCUCCGCAUUCCGAUCGAGAUGCGGGUGUUUUGAAUCCAACACGGUGGCGGAUUCGUUUCGCCGUCGUCCGGAAUGGAGAGGCCUGGUUUGACGGAUUCUUGCAUGCACAUUCUUCGUCGUGCUGCAGGGUGAUGAUGGAUCAUGACAAAUACAUCCUCGCUGGCCGGUACCUCGACGGCGGCGAACACAUCUCCGAAGGUGCGCAGUUCAUGAUUGAUGAUUAUGAGGUUUUUGUUCUUAACCUGUUAUAG
Molecule: ribosomal RNA, 528 nt
Filed under: Triticum aestivum (bread wheat)
Lineage: Eukaryota; Viridiplantae; Streptophyta; Magnoliopsida; Poales; Poaceae
Description: partial small subunit ribosomal RNA
Source: RNAcentral